Molecule: long non-coding RNA, 619 nt
Filed under: Daucus carota (carrot)
Lineage: Eukaryota; Viridiplantae; Streptophyta; Magnoliopsida; Apiales; Apiaceae
Description: long non-coding RNA (DCAR_LNC004870)
Source: RNAcentral
GCAUGGUGAGAUUGACCCAGAAUUAAGCAAGUUACAUCAAAAAAAUUGUAAGCCUUCUAUUUUUUCCUUCUUAUUUCAUUACUAAAUCCACAUCUGAUUUGUUUCUUUUUUUUUGACAGGAUGACUUAAUGGAAAAGCAAAGAAAGGGUGAAUUCAAGCCGCAAGGAACUAAUGAUGUGCUUACCACUGUGUUAGAAACUCCAGAGCAUUUGGGCAGGGUUCGCGGGGUUGGGAGCUUCAUACCACCAACCUUGUUUUUUGUUUGCCGAAACAGAAAAGGAAACGAAUUACCAAAGAGGAGUUGUUGGCCCAUGAUGAGAAGAUGAAAGAGGAGUUUGAGCAAAAAACAAAAGGAUUUAGAGGUACAAAUUGCAGAGUUGAGAGCUUUGAUUGCUGCAAGCAAUAUUCAUUCACCAAUAUUGUCCGACAAAGCAAGCUAUCCAGGGGAAAAAGAAGAAGAACAAGAACAACAGAAGAAUGUGAAGAAAAAACAAGAAAUUGCAAAGAAAUUGAUGGUAGAUGAUGCCAAACAGGAUGGAGAUUGUUUUGCUAUUGACCCUCCUCCACCUCCACCGGAACAGAAGUUAAACGUAAACUCUAUGAUUUAAUUACUCCAUGG